Molecule: ribosomal RNA, 234 nt
Filed under: uncultured bacterium
Lineage: Bacteria
Description: partial 16S ribosomal RNA
Rfam family: Bacterial small subunit ribosomal RNA
Source: RNAcentral
ACUGUAAGACUWGAGUGUGGUAGGGGCAGAGGGAAUUCCCGGUGUAGCGGUGAAAUGCGUAGAUAUCGGGAAGAACACCAGUGGCGAAGGCGCUCUGCUGGGCCAUAACUGACGCUCAUGGACGAAAGCBAGGGGAGCGAAMGGGAUUAGAUACCCCUGUAGUCCUCGCCGUAAACGAUGAACACUAGGUGUCGGGGGAAUYGACCCCCUCGGUGUCGUAGCCAACGCGUUAAG